GGGGGGCACCCCUGAAAUUCCGCCCUGGAGGAGUGGCCUCACCCUAACCCCGGCCGUGCCUAAUGAUAAGGCCCACCUCUUACGGCCUUCGGCCGUCGAGUGAAAUAAAUGUUGGAGGUAAUGCGCCUAAAGCCCUCAGCCCUCAGCUCUCCGCCGAAGUUGGGUUAGGAAGGAGGAAGGGAGAGGUAAAUGCUGACCCCGCAGGCGGCAGUCUGUGCCUCGGAGAGAAACUUUAUCGCAACCUUGCCGGGGGCCUUGACGCCCGUCCUCCCGCAAGAGCACCCCGGCAGUCACCCGUGCCCUCUGGUGUCCUGCCACCCCGAGCCCGACCUUCCCCCUUUACCCCCGCGCGGGGCCAGUAACCUCCUAACUGCGUCUUCUCUGUUUCGGGCUGUCGUGCUCAUCACGUUUGCGUCGUUUCUUCGCUCCACAAACGUUUACUGAGCGCCUUCCACACGCCAGGCACCAGACUAGCGCCGGCAAACGGGGAUAAGUACUGGGGAGGGGUCCCAGCCCUCAGUGAUGGGAUUUCAGAGGGGGAGAUAAAGGAUUGCCCAGAAGGGUGGUGAGUGGAAUAGUUGAUAUAAACAACGGGGGUGCGACGAAAUACAUAGGAGGGCUGCUCGUCACGUAUGGGGUGAGUGCCCAGGGCCCUUAAUUAAGGGAGGCUUCCUGGACGGGUGACACCCAAGCGGAGUCCUGACAACCUGCGUCAGGAGUAGCCAGGCGAGGAGGAGGUGAAAGGAAUCCACGUCCCGAGCAGAGAGGCAGCUUUCCCUGCACAGCACAGGACACGGUCCGUGCACAGAAGCCACAGGAGACGCAGGCACAGGGGCUGGGGAGAAUCCUUGCCGGGCCCUCGCCAUCCACGCGCCGCCUCCCUCUGCCGGGUGUCUGGUGUCAGCCUCCCGCCCGGCAGAGGAACUCCAGCCCCUGCUCCCGGAAGCGCCUCCAGGCCUUCGGCUUCCCUGACUCGGAAUGGGCCCCUCGUCCGGCGGGUACGAGGCCGGUCUCCCCGCCCGCUGGUGACGAAGUAAAGGCCCGGCGCCGCCCGGGCUCCUGCCCUGGGACCUCGUCUUUCUCCAGGAAAAGGUGGACCGCUCUCCGCCGAGCGGUCUCUUCCACAGACCCCUCUCGCCUUCGCCCCCAGUCUCCUUCGGUUCUGUCUUCGCGCUGGCUGGGUAGAAACCAGGAAGUCGCCCCCAGCGGAGCCCCGGCUCCCCGAGGCAGAGGCGGCCCCGGGGGCGGAGUCAACCGCGGAGGCC
This 1265-nucleotide long non-coding RNA is filed under the name Macaca fascicularis (crab-eating macaque). Its description in RNAcentral is "lncRNA (ENSMFAG00000062857.1)". Lineage: Eukaryota; Metazoa; Chordata; Mammalia; Primates; Cercopithecidae. The record is from RNAcentral.